Molecule: ribosomal RNA, 293 nt
Filed under: uncultured eukaryote
Lineage: Eukaryota
Description: partial 18S ribosomal RNA
Rfam family: Eukaryotic small subunit ribosomal RNA
Source: RNAcentral
GGUUGAUCCUGCCAGUAGUCAUAUGCUUGUCUCAAAGAUUAAGCCAUGCAUGUCUAAGUAUAAACAUCUUUAUACAGUGAAACUGCGUACAGCUCAUUAUAUCAGUUAUGAUUUAUUUGAUGGUACCUUACUACAUGGAUAACCGUAGUAAUUCUAGAGCUAAUACAUGCGUAAAGUCCCGACUUUCGAGGGAGGGAUGUAUUUAUUAGAUAAAAAAUCAAUGCGGUUUCGGCCGGUUUCGUUGGUGAUUCAUAAUAACUACUCGAAUCGCAUGGCUUCAUGCUGGCGAUAGU